UACCAGCUCUCCGAGUGGUAGGGAUGAUUAUUGGGCUUAAAGCGUCCGUAGCCGGCUUAGCAAGUCUCCUGUUAAAUUCAGCGACAUAAUCGUUGAGCCGCGGGAGAUACUAUUAGGCUAGGAGGCGGGAGAGGUCGACGGUACUUCUGGGGUAGGGGUGAAAUCCUAUAAUCCCGGGAGGACCACCAGUGGCGAAGGCUGUCGACUAGAACGCGCUCGACGGUGAGGGACGAAAGCUGGGGGAGCGAACCGGAUUAGAUACCCGGGUAGUCCCAGCUGUAAACGAUGCGGGCUAGGUGUUGGGGUGGCUACGUGCCACUUCAGUGCCGCAGGGAAGCCAUUAAGCCCGCCGCCUGGGGAGUACGGCCGCAAGGCUGAAACUUAAGGAAUUGGCGGGGAGCACCACAAGGCGUGAAGCUUGCGGUUC
Molecule: ribosomal RNA, 427 nt
Filed under: uncultured archaeon
Lineage: Archaea
Description: bacterial SSU rRNA
Rfam family: Archaeal small subunit ribosomal RNA
Source: RNAcentral